RNAcentral lists this ribosomal RNA (497 nucleotides) under uncultured bacterium. Its description in RNAcentral is "partial 16S ribosomal RNA". It matches the Rfam family "Bacterial small subunit ribosomal RNA", at positions 28 to 507 of the family's 1533-position model. The record is from RNAcentral.
GAUGAACGCUGGCGGCGUGCCUAAUACAUGCAAGUCGAGCGAACGGACGAGAAGCUUGCUUCUCUGAUGUUAGCGGCGGACGGGUGAGUAACACGUGGAUAACCUACCUAUAAGACUGGGAUAACUUCGGGAAACCGGAGCUAAUACCGGAUAAUAUUUUGAACCGCAUGGUUCAAAAGUGAAAGACGAUCUUGCUGUCACUUAUAGAUGGAUCCGCGCUGCAUUAGCUAGUUGGUAAGGUAACGGCUUACCAAGGCAACGAUGCAUAGCCGACCUGAGAGGGUGAUCGGCCACACUGGAACUGAGACACGGUCCAGACUCCUACGGGAGGCAGCAGUAGGGAAUCUUCCGCAAUGGGCGAAAGCCUGACGGAGUAACGCCGCGUGAGUGAUGAAGGUCUUCGGAUCGUAAAACUCUGUUGUUAGGGAAGAACAUAUGUGUAAGUAACUGUGCACAUCUUGACGGUACCUAAUCAGAAAGCCACGGCUAACUACGUG